AACUUUCAGCAACGGAUCUCUUGGCUCUCGCAUCGAUGAAGAACGCAGCGAAAUGCGAUAAGUAAUGUGAAUUGCAGAAUUCAGUGAAUCAUCGAAUCUUUGAACGCACCUUGCGCUCCUUGGUAUUCCGAGGAGUAUGCCUGUUUGAGUGUCAU
This 155-nucleotide ribosomal RNA is filed under the name Thaxterogaster sp. H1202. RNAcentral's name for it is "5.8S ribosomal RNA". It matches the Rfam family "5.8S ribosomal RNA". Rfam says of the family: 5.8S ribosomal RNA (5.8S rRNA) is a component of the large subunit of the eukaryotic ribosome. The record is from RNAcentral. Lineage: Eukaryota; Fungi; Basidiomycota; Agaricomycetes; Agaricales; Cortinariaceae.